Molecule: ribosomal RNA, 468 nt
Filed under: uncultured bacterium
Lineage: Bacteria
Description: partial 16S ribosomal RNA
Rfam family: Bacterial small subunit ribosomal RNA
Source: RNAcentral
GACGAACGCUGGCGGCGUGCUUAACACAUGCAAGUCGAACGGAAAGGCCCUGCUUUUGUGGGGUGCUCGAGUGGCGAACGGGUGAGUAACACGUGAGUAACCUGCCCUUGACUUUGGGAUAACUUCAGGAAACUGGGGCUAAUACCGGAUAGGAGCUCCUGCUGCAUGGUGGGGGUUGGAAAGUUUCGGCGGUUGGGGAUGGACUCGCGGCUUAUCAGCUUGUUUGUGGGGUAGUGGCUUACCAAGGCUUUGACGGGUAGCCGGCCUGAGAGGGUGACCGGCCACAUUGGGACUGAGAUACGGCCCAGACUGCUACGGGAGGCAGCAGUGGGGAAUAUUGCACAAUGGGCGGAAGCCUGAUGCAGCAACGCCGCGUGCGGGAUGACGGCCUUCGGGUUGUAAACCGCUUUCGCCUGUGACGAAGCGUGAGUGACGGUAAUGGGUAAAGAAGCACCGGCUAACUACGUG